RNAcentral lists this ribosomal RNA (443 nucleotides) under uncultured bacterium. RNAcentral describes it as "partial 16S ribosomal RNA". It matches the Rfam family "Bacterial small subunit ribosomal RNA", at positions 338 to 795 of the family's 1533-position model. The record is from RNAcentral.
CCUACGGGUGGCUGCAGUGGGGAAUAUUGGGCAAUGGGCGCAAGCCUGACCCAGCAACGCCGCGUGAAGGAAGAAGGCUUUCGGGUUGUAAACUUCUUUUCUCAGGGACGAAGCAAGUGACGGUACUUGAGGAAUAAGCCACGGCUAACUACGUGCCAGCAGCCGCGGCAAUACGGAGGUGGCAAGCGUUAUCCGGAUUUACUGGGUGUAAAGGGCGUGUAGGCGGGAAAGCAAGUCAGAUGUGAAAACCAGGGGCUCAACCUGUGGACUGCAUUUGAAACUGUUUGUCUUGAGUGCUGGAGAGGCAGACGGAAUUCCUGGUGUAGCGGUGAAAUGCGUAGAUAUUAGGAGGAACACCGGUGGCGAAGGCGGUCUGCUGGACAGCAACUGACGCUGAGGCGCGAAAGCGUGGGGAGCAAACAGGAUUAGAUACCCGGGUAGUC